GGAUAUUUGCGCGCGUGGUACCUCCGAUUUGCGACGCGUUGCAAUUUGGCCAUUUUUCAUUAUUUUCUUUUAUUUUUAAUUUAGCCCCAUAAUUUUAUUUUUGUUUUAAUUUGGUCAAUUGCAGCACCGCGUUUUGGGGUACUUGGUCUAUUUACCAUUUUGGUCCCCCUCUUUCUGCGCGUGUCGCAGUUCGGUCCUUUUCG
This 203-nucleotide long non-coding RNA is filed under the name Gossypium raimondii (Peruvian cotton). RNAcentral's name for it is "long non-coding RNA (GRAI_LNC004375)". Lineage: Eukaryota; Viridiplantae; Streptophyta; Magnoliopsida; Malvales; Malvaceae. The record is from RNAcentral.